GACGAACGUUGGCGGCGUGCUUAACACAUGCAAGUCGAACGGAAAGGCCCUGCUUUUGUGGGGUGCUCGAGUGGCGAACGGGUGAGUAACACGUGAGUAACCUGCCCUUGACUUUGGGAUAACUUCAGGAAACUGGGGCUAAUACCGGAUAGGAGCUCCUGCUGCAUGGUGGGGGUUGGAAAGUUUCGGCGGUUGGGGAUGGACUCGCGGCUUAUCAGCUUGUUGGUGGGGUAGUGGCUUACCAAGGCUUUGACGGGUAGCCGGCCUGAGAGGGUGACCGGCCACAUUGGGACUGAGAUACGGCCCAGACUCCUACGGGAGGCAGCAGUGGGGAAUAUUGCACAAUGGGCGGAAGCCUGAUGCAGCAACGCCGCGUGCGGGGUGACGGCCUUCGGGUUGUAAACCGCUUUCGCCUGUGACGAAGCGUGAGUGACGGUAAUGGGUAAAGAAGCACCGGCUAACUACGUGCCAGCAGCCGCGGUGAUACGUAGGGUGCGAGCGUUGUCCGGAUUUAUUGGGCGUAAAGGGCUCGUAGGUGGUUGAUCGCGUCGGAAGUGUAAUCUUGGGGCUUAACCCUGAGCGUGCUUUCGAUACGGGUUGACUUGAGGAAGGUAGGGGAGAAUGGAAUUCCUGGUGGAGCGGUGGAAUGCGCAGAUAUCAGGAGGAACACCAGUGGCGAAGGCGGUUCUCUGGGCCUUUCCUGACGCUGAGGAGCGAAAGCGUGGGGAGCGAACAGGCUUAGAUACCCUGGUAGUCCACGCUGUAAACGGUGGGUACUAGGUGUGGGGUCCAUUCCACGGGUUCCGUGCCGUAGCUAACGCUUUAAGUACCCCGCCUGGGGAGUACGGCCGCAAGGCUAAAACUCAAAGGAAUUGACGGGGCCCCGCACAAGCGGCGGAGCAUGCGGAUUAAUUCGAUGCAACGCGUAGAACCUUACCUGGGUUUGACAUGGAUCGGGAGUGCUCAGAGAUGGGUGUGCCUCUUUUGGGGUCGGUUCACAGGUGGUGCAUGGCUGUCGUCAGCUCGUGUCGUGAGAUGUUGGGUUAAGUCCCGCAACGAGCGCAACCCUUGUUCACUGUUGCCAGCACGUUAUGGUGGGGACUCAGUGGAGACCGCCGGGGUCAACUCGGAGGAAGGUGGGGAUGACGUCAAGUCAUCAUGCCCCUUAUGUCCAGGGCUUCACGCAUGCUACAAUGGCUGGUACAGAGAGUGGCGAGCCUGUGAGGGUGAGCGAAUCUCGGAAAGCCGGUCUCAGUUCGGAUUGGGGUCUGCAACUCGACCUCAUGAAGUCGGAGUCGCUAGUAAUCGCAGAUCAGCAACGCUGCGGUGAAUACGUUCCCGGG
Molecule: ribosomal RNA, 1343 nt
Filed under: uncultured bacterium
Lineage: Bacteria
Description: 16S ribosomal RNA
Rfam family: Bacterial small subunit ribosomal RNA
Source: RNAcentral